GUGGGCAACCUGCCCCUGACACUGGGAUAACCCCGGGAAACCGGAGCUAAUACCGGAUACUCUCGGCCGAUCACAUGGCUGGCCGAGGAAAGGUCCGCCGGUCAGGGAUGGGCCCGCGGCCUAUCAGCUUGUUGGUGGGGUAACGGCCUACCAAGGCGACGACGGGUAGCUGGUCUGAGAGGACGACCAGCCACACUGGAACUGAGAUACGGUCCAGACUCCUACGGGAGGCAGCAGUGGGGAAUAUUGCACAAUGGGCGAAAGCCUGAUGCAGCGACGCCGCGUGAGGGAUGAAGGCCUUCGGGUCGUAAACCUCUUUCGGCAGGGACGAAGCGAUCAGUGACGGUACCUGCAGAAGAAGCCCCGGCUAACUACGUGCCAGCAGCCGCGGUAAGACGUAGGGGGCGAGCGUUGUCCGGAUUUAUUGGGCGUAAAGCGUGCGUAGGCGGCUGCGCAAGUCGGGUGUGAAACCCCGGGGCUCAACCCCGGAACUGCAUCCGAUACUGCGUGGCUAGAGGUAGGUAGGGGAGAUCGGAAUUCCUGGUGUAGCGGUGAAAUGCGCAGAUAUCAGGAGGAACACCGGUGGCGAAGGCGGAUCUCUGGGCCUUACCUGACGCUCAGGCACGAAAGCUAGGGGAGCGAACAGGAUUAGAUACCCUGGUAGUCCUAGCCGUAAACGUUGGGUGCUAGGUGUGGGCGGAUAUCGACCCCGUCCGUGCCGAAGCUAACGCAUUAAGCACCCCGCCUGGGGAGUACGGCCGCAAGGCUAAA
This 771-nucleotide ribosomal RNA is filed under the name uncultured bacterium. RNAcentral's name for it is "bacterial SSU rRNA". It matches the Rfam family "Bacterial small subunit ribosomal RNA", at positions 117 to 898 of the family's 1533-position model. The record is from RNAcentral.